Molecule: long non-coding RNA, 1004 nt
Organism: Callithrix jacchus (white-tufted-ear marmoset)
Lineage: Eukaryota; Metazoa; Chordata; Mammalia; Primates; Cebidae
Source: RefSeq, a predicted model, not a curated record
AUAGGUUAUUAAGGGCAGUGAUAUAGAACAUCCAUAACUGCCUCAAACAAAAAACAGUUAAUGAAAUAUGUUUCAUCUUAAUGCUACUUCACGAUAGUGUUGACUCACACUCUCCUUUGUCCUAUAUAAUUAUAGCUGCCCCUGCUUUCUUUUGGUUUCCACAUGCAUGGAACAUCAUUUUUCAGCCUUCAGUCCAUGUGUAUCCUUAAAGCCGAAGACAAAUGAUUAAAAAGAAGCAGGCCAGUCUCACAGCUUGAAGGUAUGAGGAGGACUGAUCUUUCUAACCACAUUGUACAGUUCUGGACAUGUCCCAAGAGUCAUUUUCAAGAGAACUGAUGGUGUAGUUCUACCCUGAAGGUUGGCAUUCUUGGAACCCUGGAAGAAUUGAUGUUUUAGCUCAAUUCCAACCACAGGAAAAAAGAAAGCUGAUGUCCCAGUUUGAAGAUCAUUGGGCACGAGGAAUUCUUUCUUACUCAGAGAAGUUCCAGCUUUUUGUUCUAUUCAAUCCUUCAACUGAUUGGAUGAAGCUCAUUCACAUUAGGAAGGACAACUGCUUUAUGUAGUUAAUUUUAUCCAAAAAUGCCCUCACAGAAACAACCAGAUGUUUGACCAAAGGUCUGAGUUCCCCAUGACCCAGUCCAGCUGACACAUAAAAGUGACCACGACGAGCCAAGAGUUUUUGCUGUUUUCAUGUUGAUUUUUCAUGACAAGAGGAGAAGCUGUGUGAAUGCUCCUUUUGUUUUUUCUCUUUUUCUUAAACUUACAGUUCAAUGUGAUUAAAGGACAAAGGAUGAAUGUGUGAAGACUGAAAAGACAAGUUCUGGCUAUUCCAUCGAGGGCCUCAUUUGUGAAGCUAAGGCAUGUGAACCUUCCCUCUGGUGUUAAGGACCCAUCAAGAUCGUUAAACAAUGGAGAUGAUCAAAUUAUUUACUGCUUCACUAGCAUAAGAACCAGCCCUUGAGAAGACUAUACAGAGGUACAGUGCAACUUUUUCUUCUAAAGGU